GGGCCGGUAGCUCAGGCGGUAGAGCAUUCGCCUCUUAAGCGAAUUGUCCUGGGUUCGAGUCCCAGCCGGCUCA
RNAcentral lists this transfer RNA (73 nucleotides) under Candidatus Portnoybacteria bacterium CG23_combo_of_CG06-09_8_20_14_all_37_13. RNAcentral's name for it is "tRNA-Lys". It matches the Rfam family "tRNA". From Rfam's summary of the family: Transfer RNA (tRNA) molecules are approximately 80 nucleotides in length. Their secondary structure includes four short double-helical elements and three loops (D, anti-codon, and T loops). Lineage: Bacteria; Candidatus Portnoyibacteriota. The record is from RNAcentral.